This 206-nucleotide ribosomal RNA is filed under the name uncultured bacterium. RNAcentral describes it as "partial 16S ribosomal RNA". It matches the Rfam family "Bacterial small subunit ribosomal RNA", at positions 1298 to 1500 of the family's 1533-position model. The record is from RNAcentral.
CUGGAGUCUGNAACCCGACUCCACGAAGUUGGAUUCGCUAGUAAUCGCGCAUCAGCCAUGGCGCGGUGAAUACGUUCCCGGGCCUUGUACACACCGCCCGUCAAGCCAUGGGAGCCGGGGGCGCCUGAAGCCGGUGACCCAACCCGAAAGGGAGGGAGCCGUCGAAGGCAGGUCGGAUGACUGGGGUGAAGUCGUAACAAGGUAAC